RNAcentral lists this long non-coding RNA (366 nucleotides) under Homo sapiens (human). Its description in RNAcentral is "non-protein coding lnc-RAG1-5:3". The record is from RNAcentral. Lineage: Eukaryota; Metazoa; Chordata; Mammalia; Primates; Hominidae.
AGAGCGCGACGGGGAGAACCAUCCAGGUCGCUCAUUUCUCUCCGGUGAGAAAACUUCCUCGGGAAGACCGGAAACUUUUUCCUAGGCGCGCGGAGUCUGGGGCGGAGGCGAGCGGCGGGUGUGCGCGACUCGGGGUGAUUCACGCCGGGGACCCCAAGGAGAAGAGGCAAUUCGGACAUAAAGAGAAACAUCAAGGGCAUGAGUGCACAGAGGAAAGACCAUGUGACGGCAUGGCUACAAGGCAGCCAUCUGUAAACCAAGGAGAGAGACCCCAAAGGAAAUCAACCCUGCUGACACCUUGAUCGUGGACUUCUAGCCUCCAGAACUAUGUAGAAACUGCAGCUCAGAGAUGUCCAAGGUCACACU